RNAcentral lists this ribosomal RNA (422 nucleotides) under uncultured Pedobacter sp. RNAcentral's name for it is "bacterial SSU rRNA". It matches the Rfam family "Bacterial small subunit ribosomal RNA", at positions 355 to 774 of the family's 1533-position model. The record is from RNAcentral. Lineage: Bacteria; Pseudomonadati; Bacteroidota; Sphingobacteriia; Sphingobacteriales; Sphingobacteriaceae.
UAAGGAAUAUUGGUCAAUGGGGGCAACCCUGAACCAGCCAUGCCGCGUGCAGGAAGACGGCCCUACGGGUUGUAAACUGCUUUUAUACGGGAAUAAACCCCUUUACGUGUAAAGGGUUGAAUGUACUGUAAGAAUAAGGAUCGGCUAACUCCGUGCCAGCAGCCGCGGUAAUACGGAGGAUCCAAGCGUUAUCCGGAUUUAUUGGGUUUAAAGGGUGCGUAGGCGGCCUAUUAAGUCAGGGGUGAAAGACGGUGGCUCAACCAUCGCAGUGCCUUUGAUACUGAUAGGCUUGAUUACACUUGAGGUAGGCGGAAUGUGACAAGUAGCGGUGAAAUGCAUAGAUAUGUCACAGAACACCAAUUGCGAAGGCAGCUUACUAAGGUGUUAAUGACGCUGAGGCACGAAAGCGUGGGGAUCAAACA